UUGGGGGUGAAGGGGGGGCCCCUCAAAGGCCUCUGGGCUCCGAAGGCUCCUAGUCGUGCUCGAGGGUGAGCCUUUAGAAGAGAUACUGGCCCGGCCCAGCCUUG
This is a long non-coding RNA of Myotis davidii, 104 nucleotides long. RefSeq lists it as uncharacterized. The record is from RefSeq and is a predicted model, not a curated record. The transcript is spliced from 3 exons. Lineage: Eukaryota; Metazoa; Chordata; Mammalia; Chiroptera; Vespertilionidae.